This 387-nucleotide ribosomal RNA is filed under the name uncultured bacterium. RNAcentral describes it as "bacterial SSU rRNA". It matches the Rfam family "Bacterial small subunit ribosomal RNA", at positions 29 to 417 of the family's 1533-position model. The record is from RNAcentral.
AUUAAACGCUGGCGGCAUGCCUUACACAUGCAAGUCGAACGGCAGCACGGGGGGAACCCUGGUGGCGAGUGGCGAACGGGUGAGUAAAGCAUCGGAACGUGCCCUGGAGUGGGGGAUAACGUAGCGAAAGUUACGCUAAUACCGCAUAUUCUGUGAGCAGGAAAGCAGGGGAUCGCAAGACCUUGCGCUCUGGGAGCGGCCGAUGUCGGAUUAGCUAGUUGGUGGGGUAAAGGCCUACCAAGGCGACGAUCCGUAGCGGGUCUGAGAGGAUGAUCCGCCACACUGGGACUGAGACACGGCCCAGACUCCUACGGGAGGCAGCAGUGGGGAAUUUUGGACAAUGGGCGAAAGCCUGAUCCAGCCAUGCCGCGUGAGUGAAGAAGGCCU